RNAcentral lists this ribosomal RNA (460 nucleotides) under uncultured bacterium. RNAcentral's name for it is "partial 16S ribosomal RNA". It matches the Rfam family "Bacterial small subunit ribosomal RNA", at positions 338 to 795 of the family's 1533-position model. The record is from RNAcentral.
CCUACGGGGGGCAGCAGUGAGGAAUAUUGGUCAAUGGACGAGAGUCUGAACCAGCCAAGUAGCGUGAAGGAUGACUGCCCUAUGGGUUGUAAACUUCUUUUAUAAAGGAAUAAAACGAGGCACGGGUGCCUUUUUGAAUGUACUUUAUGAAUAAGGAUCGGCUAACUCCGUGCCAGCAGCCGCGGUAAUAAGGAGGAUCCGAGCGUUAUCCGUAUUUAUUGGGUUUAAAGGGAGCGUAGAUGGGUUGUUAAGUCAGUUGUGAAAGUUUGCGGCUCAACCGUAAAAUUGCAAUUGAUACUGGCAGUCUUGAGUACAGUUGAGGUAGGCGGAAUUCGUGGUGUAGCGGUGAAAUGCUUAGAGAUCACGAAGAACCCCGAUUGCGAAGGCAGCUUACUAAACUGUGACUGACAUUGAUGCUCGAAAGUGUGGGUAUCAAACAGGAUUAGAUACCCCAGUAGUC